CUUUCGAAUUGCUAGGUUGGCAGGAACUGGGACAGAGCAAUGGGAGCUCGGAUUCGAACCGCCGACCUUCCGAUCGGCAAGCCCAAGAGGCUCAGUGGUUUAGACUACAGCGCCACCUGCUCCCAGCAACACUGCAACCAACUGAAUGCAUCCAACCAAGCUCUGGACCCCCCAACCCCACGCAAUGCCAAUAAAGAUAAACAAAUAUAUAAAUAAGGGACCUACCGAUGAGUUGCUGACACAAUCCCCAUACUAACACUAUGCAAUGGAACGAUAGAACAAUACCCCC
This is a non-coding RNA of Podarcis lilfordi (Lilford's wall lizard), 289 nucleotides long. The record is from the annotation of a GenBank genome assembly. Lineage: Eukaryota; Metazoa; Chordata; Lepidosauria; Squamata; Lacertidae.